Carlito syrichta (Philippine tarsier) is the source of this 132-nucleotide small nucleolar RNA. The record is from Ensembl. NCBI's taxonomy places the organism in Eukaryota, Metazoa, Chordata, Mammalia, Primates, Tarsiidae.
GGCCUCCUGGUGCUUACCACAGGCUGUGUUGUUACACUGACUGUAUAGAAAAAGGAGGCAGAGUAAAUCUACCCUGUGUACACCUCAGUCCAGGUCCUGUGCCUGGCCUGUAUUGUGAAUGGGGGGACAGGA